CUUUUUUAAUUUACUUCUAAUAUAUAUAAAAAAAUGAUUAAUUACAGUACCGCUCAUUGUAAACAUAUCGAAUAACAAAUAUAUCUAUAUCAAAUUUAACUUUUCAUUUUUAUCCCUAUAAAAAUUCGGUGAUAUUCAUAUUUGCCUAUCUGGUUUGUUACAGUUAGGUUAUUGUUUAUUUUUAGCAGCACAUAAGUGAAAUGUUAUUUUUCUUCUUACAAAUAUACUCCUCCUAAAGCCCGAACUGUUAGAAUUAUACAGAAAUGCCCUUCCAAAAAAGUAUUUUACUCAAUAAUAUAAGAUGGGUAAAAAGGUCAAUUUAACUCAUUCAUUAAUCAGGAUUAAGUAUUUUACUUAUAGUUAACUAUAUUUUUCUAACGGAUCCUAUCAGUAGAGUAUAUUUGAAAAUAUGAAGACAUUUGCAGGGAUAAAAAUAAAAAGUUAAAUUUUGUAAGGAUAUAUCUGCUAUUUGAUAUGUUUACAUAGAGCUGUACGCAAUUAACCCAAAAAAAUUAUUAAA
Molecule: long non-coding RNA, 520 nt
Filed under: Ananas comosus (pineapple)
Lineage: Eukaryota; Viridiplantae; Streptophyta; Magnoliopsida; Poales; Bromeliaceae
Description: long non-coding RNA (ACOM_LNC009450)
Source: RNAcentral